Molecule: small nuclear RNA, 345 nt
Filed under: Erinaceus europaeus (western European hedgehog)
Lineage: Eukaryota; Metazoa; Chordata; Mammalia; Eulipotyphla; Erinaceidae
Description: 7SK RNA
Rfam family: 7SK RNA
About the family: 7SK was discovered as an abundant small nuclear RNA in the mid-70s but a possible function has only recently been suggested.
Source: Rfam by way of RNAcentral
GGAUGUGAGUGUGAUCUGCCUGUGACAUCUGUCUCCCCAUUGACUGCCAGGGUUGAUUCUCCUGAUCUGGCUGGCUAAGCGGCUGUCCCCUUCCUCCCUCACCACUACAUGUGUUUCCCUCCCAAAGCUGCGCGCUCAGUGGAAGAGGAUGGCCUUCCCUGAAUAGAGAUGAACCAGUCUUCAGUUGAGGGUGGGUAUACGAGUAUCUGUGCUCCCCUGCUAGAACCUCCAAACAAGCUCUCAAAAAGAUCUGUGUCUACCUAUGUUCGUAACAGCACAAUUUGUAAUAGCCAAAACCUGGAAGCAAUCUAGGUGUCCCACAACAGAUGAGUGGCUGAGUAAGUU